This is a long non-coding RNA of Micropterus salmoides (largemouth bass), 582 nucleotides long. RefSeq lists it as uncharacterized. Lineage: Eukaryota; Metazoa; Chordata; Actinopteri; Centrarchiformes; Centrarchidae. The transcript has 3 exons. The record is from RefSeq and is a predicted model, not a curated record.
UGUGGAUUUUGGAUUUCUGUUGGAUUACCUGGUUUUAUUUGGACUUGUUUUUCAGCCACUCUGCCACUGAUAAUUUGCAGAUUGCCAAAGAAUACCUUGAACAGAAUGUUCCUAUGGAAGAUGCCUGGGCUGAGAUCUUUCCUGAAACGGAACUGAAGCGUCUUGAGUGUGCUGCAGAAAAAGAAGAAGAUGCUGAGGUGUUUCAGGUCUGGGUGAUGAGGGGAGAAACACAUAAGCGAGGGCUGGGCGCUUGGAUCUCUCUCUUGUCCACCUUCAUGCCAUGGCAGCAGCAGACCACAGAGACUGCUGCUGAUUUGUAUUUCUUUUGAUUGUUCUUUUUUUUUUCUGAUGGGACUGGUAGUUUAGUUUUCGUGGAUUUAUUUUAUUUGUUUGUUUGUUUAGUUAGGGAUUGGUUUAGGGUAGAGGGGAAGCCUCCAGAUCCUAUGACCCUUUGUGGGCUGGUCUGGAGGGCUUCCCUUUCUUUUGUUCAUUUUGGCUAGCCCAUCAGAUUUGCUAUUUCGUUUGAAUAAAAUUUUUAACUAAUUUCAUGUUUAUUUUAAUAAUCUUGUGUUUUUGGCACAA